UACAGAGGUGGCAAGCGUUGUUCGGAAUUACUGGGCGUAAAGGGCGCGUAGGCGGCCCGUCACGUCCCGUGUGAAAGCCCCCGGCUCAACCGGGGAACGGCGCGGGAAACUAGCAGGCUUGAGUUCGGGAGAGGGAAGCGGAAUUCCGGGUGUAGCGGUGAAAUGCGUAGAUAUCGGGAGGAACACCUGCGGUGUAGACGGCUUACUGGACCAUAACUGACGCUGAGGCACGAAAGCGUGGGUAGCAAACAGG
RNAcentral lists this ribosomal RNA (253 nucleotides) under uncultured bacterium. Its description in RNAcentral is "partial 16S ribosomal RNA". It matches the Rfam family "Bacterial small subunit ribosomal RNA", at positions 524 to 776 of the family's 1533-position model. The record is from RNAcentral.